Molecule: long non-coding RNA, 1114 nt
Organism: Canis lupus familiaris (dog)
Lineage: Eukaryota; Metazoa; Chordata; Mammalia; Carnivora; Canidae
Exons: 2
Source: RefSeq, a predicted model, not a curated record
CCAAAAGCAGUUCCUGGGGCCAGGGGGACCUGCCAGGUGGUUCAGAGACCAGCCACCGGAGUGCUGCAGGGCAGCCGCUGAACCCCUGGGGCCCAGGAAAUGGGGGAGUGGGUGGGUGCGAUGGGCCUCUCCUGGGCUCCCUCCCCUGCCAGCAAGGAGGGUGGCGGGAGAGCCACGGGUGCGGCGGGGACCCGGCAGACCCGCGCUGGCCAGAGAAGGGCAGGGCCUGGAGGAGGCUCCACGGCCACAGCUACAGCUUUGUGCUGCGGUCGGAGCGCGCUCGCCGAGGCCUGGGUUUGCUCGCUGAGAAACUUCCCGGACGGUGCAAAGUCCACUAGUAUUGGAAAAUUUAAAAUGACCUGUCUGGAGUCGCAACACAAGUGAAGGCCGAAUCCGUAUCCGAGAUGAGAAUGAGAAGUCCAAGUGUCUCUGCCGGUGGAGGGAUGGAGGGAUGGAGGGAUGGAGGGAUGGAGGGAUGGAGGCAGCUGCUCAACUUUUAAUUAGGCAGCUGCAGCCAGAUGCCCAGGAGGUGCUCAGUUCAGUUCGUGCCUAUCAGAGGACGCACACACGGUGUAUCAGCCCACAGUGCCCUGCCUGCCCACCGCGCAGCCCCAGAUCUGCGCAGCUCUGCUUCCGGCCUAUUCUGGGCUAACCAACGCACUUCUGGACUAUCUCCUUCGUUCUCAGUUGAUGGAAUAUUGUAAAUUCAGCACCAUUGUGAAUGGGGCUUUAGAAAAAUCACCCAGAAUGUUUCAAGGAAAAUUAACCCGUGAAAAAUGUGUGUGUGUGCACUCUUCUCUUUGCAGAUAAUUUAGAGCUGUGAAGAGGGGGCCCUAAUUGCACAGAAGUGCUAGGAGGGGUGAGCUGGUCCUGUCCCAAGCAGGCAUGGUUGCACCUAAGGCUGGUGCAGAAGAAAAAGGCCUUAGGACUGGAAGUCCGGGGCUCUGAGUUCUAGUUCUAAGUCAAUGUGACCCAGCUUUGCUCUCCAGACACAAAUUUCCUUAUGGGGGGAACAGAACUAAUUUUUACUCUUUUCUCCCAACUUGCAAAAGUCUAUGAAUGUGAGUUUGAAGGAGCACCAUUAUGUUGACAAAUAAAGCUGAUGUUUGGGUUA